UUGAACGCUGGCGGCAGGCCUAACACAUGCCAGUCGAGCGGAUGAAGGGAGCUUGCUCCUGGAUUCAGCGGCGGACGGGUGAGUAAUGCCUAGGAAUCUGCCUGGUAGUGGGGGAUAACGUCCGGAAACGGGCGCUAAUACCGCAUACGUCCUGAGGGAGAAAGUGGGGGAUCUUCGGACCUCACGCUAUCAGAUGAGCCUAGGUCGGAUUAGCUAGUUGGUGGGGUAAAGGCCUACCAAGGCGACGAUCCGUAACUGGUCUGAGAGGAUGAUCAGUCACACUGGAACUGAGACACGGUCCAGACUCCUACGGGGGGCAGCAGUGGGGAAUAUUGGACAAUGGGCGAAAGCCUGAUCCAGCCAUGCCGCGUGUGUGAAGAAGGUCUUCGGAUUGUAAAGCACUUUAAGUUGGGAGGAAGGGCAGUAAGUUAAUACCUUGCUGUUUUGACGUUACCAACAGAAUAAGCACCGGCUAACUUCGUG
RNAcentral lists this ribosomal RNA (483 nucleotides) under uncultured bacterium. RNAcentral's name for it is "partial 16S ribosomal RNA". It matches the Rfam family "Bacterial small subunit ribosomal RNA", at positions 30 to 507 of the family's 1533-position model. The record is from RNAcentral.